RNAcentral lists this ribosomal RNA (449 nucleotides) under uncultured bacterium. RNAcentral's name for it is "partial 16S ribosomal RNA". It matches the Rfam family "Bacterial small subunit ribosomal RNA", at positions 354 to 796 of the family's 1533-position model. The record is from RNAcentral.
GUCGAGAAUCUUUCACAAUGGGGGCAACCCUGAUGGAGCGACGCCGCGUGGAGGAUAAGGUCUUCGGAUUGUAAACUCCUGUCAUGCGUGAACAAGGUUGCUUGGUUAAUACCUGGGCAAAUUGAUGGUAACGCAAGAGGAAGAGACGGCUAACUCUGUGCCAGCAGCCGCGGUAAUACAGAGGUCUCAAGCGUUGUUCGGAAUCACUGGGCGUAAAGGGUGCGUAGGUGGCGUGGUAAGUCAGAUGUGAAAGCCCGGGGCUCAACCUCGGAACUGCAUCCGAUACUGCCAUGCUAGAGUACUGGAGAGGUGACUGGAAUUCUCGGUGUAGCAGUGAAAUGCGUAGAUAUCGAGAGGAAUACCAAAGGCGUAGGCAGGUCACUGGACAGUUACUGACACUGAGGCACGAAGGCCAGGGGAGCGAACGGGAUUAGAAACCCCAGUAGUCC